GUUGUUUCAUCCUUUGGCUUUUCCUUUUAUUGAUAGGCCUUUUUGCUUUGUGUGAAAAUUUGUGACUUGAAUGAUUCCUCAAUUUUGUGCUUGGUUUUGAAGAAAAAAAAGGAAGUGAAAUGAAUAUAAUUUCUCUACUUGUAAUUAAACAAAAAUGAAAAUAAUGAUUUAAAAUUAUUUGCUUCAACCAAUCUUUGCCUAAAACAAAAGUUACUAACUGCACAUGAUCACUUUGGUUAAUUAGCAUUAAUGUUGGGAACUUACGAUCUCAUAAAAUUUUUAAUUAGGGUGUUACUUAGAAUGUAGUAUUGUUUUAUUACAAACGUUUUUCAGUCUAUUUAG
RNAcentral lists this long non-coding RNA (342 nucleotides) under Citrus maxima (pomelo). RNAcentral describes it as "long non-coding RNA (CMAX_LNC004088)". Lineage: Eukaryota; Viridiplantae; Streptophyta; Magnoliopsida; Sapindales; Rutaceae. The record is from RNAcentral.